Molecule: long non-coding RNA, 1907 nt
Organism: Esox lucius (northern pike)
Lineage: Eukaryota; Metazoa; Chordata; Actinopteri; Esociformes; Esocidae
Source: Ensembl
CUCGGCUCCACAGAGACCUCUCCCAGCUCCUGCCACCUCCCAUCAAAUAGAGAGGGGCACCAUGACAACCCCCACCUCAGACUGGUCGCCCGUGGGCUACCAGAGCAGCCAUCAGGGAGAGGACACCCCCACACCAGCAUCCUCCUCUCUCUCUUCCUCCCCUGUCCUUCCUAUCAUCUCUCUCCCCGUCCGCUCUCCUUCUAUACUGUCCCCUUCACAGGCACCAAAGGAGCAGAGGGCCAGGAGGACGAUUGUAGCAGCCACCACACCGCGAGGUCCCUGUGUCACAACAGCCGAGUGCACAAUCCAGACAUCAGAGGAUGAGUCGGAUGAGGAGGGACCACAGCCAAUCACACUGGUCCCGGACACAGCUCCCCCCUCCCCUCGAAACCCACCACUGAUAGAGGUACACACUCAUCAUCCCCCCAUCCUUCCCACGCCGCCACAGACGGGGUCAACGACACAGACCAACCUCUCCUUCACCAGACCUACCAGAAUCUCCACACUGGUGACCAGGAGGCCGUUCCGGCAUCUCAACACCUUAAACAAAAUCAAAGACUGGAGGAUCCAUCAUAAGCAAAAAACUGUUAUCAUGGGGGACUCAAACCUUUACAGAAUACCCCCCUUCACACACCAGGACCUCCAGAUAGACAGCUACCCCGGGGCUACCUUCAGGCACGCAGAGUCCAUCCUGGCCAAGUCACAGGCCUCUCCCAUGGUCCAGAAGCUCGUCCUGGCCUUCGGGAUCAACAACAAAGCACAGUGUCCUGAAAAAACAUCCAUCAGACAACUACAGGGGGCCAUCAGGAUGGCCAAAAGAGCAUGCCCCAACGCCCAGGUACUGGUUCCUUUAAUUAACUUUUCCCCAGACCUGCCCAAAAGGGAGAGAGUCAACCUCAUCCGCCUGAACGAAUACAUCUCCCGAAACCUCCUCGCCAUCCCUACACUACCAGAUGACCUUUUUGACACUGAAAAGGACAAGGUCCACUGGUCCCAGAACACAGCGAGGCGUCUCCUUGACCACUGGGUAAAUCACCUAAACAUGUAAGCCCCGUGAACCCGAGUCAAGAGACGGGGGAUAAGAAUGUGUUCAAUUUAUCUAACAUGUUUACCCCUACGGGGGCCCAACUCUCUCUCCUAUGCAGGGGGCUAACCUUCAUCCCUGUAGUGGACGGCCAUGACAGCCACAAAACCAGAAACCAAAUUAGACAUGAUAUACAACAAUAUCACAGAAGACUGAGACUGGCCGUCUACUACAGGGACCAACCGGACUCAACACCACCUCCCUUCAUUCACAGGUCGACCUGGGUCCCUCCCAGAGAUGCUAUGCCACCCAGUGUACUGAACCUGAUCUCCUCAGACUUAGAGUACUUCCAUAAUGAAUUUCGAACUAGUAGGUUGAAACCAAAUUUAAACCCAUGGGAAUUAGAAGCACAUAAGGCCCUAGUAAAUAACAAAGACAUUAUUAUUAAACCAGCAGACAAGGGCAGUGCCAUUGUGAUUAUGGACAGGGAGCAAUAUCUCUGGGAGGGAUACAGACAACUACAUGACACCACAUAUUACACAAAGCUGCCUAAACCCAUCUACAAAGACACCAUCCCCAUGGUGGAUAAAAUCCUCAAAUCACUUUUCACAAAAAGGUUCAUUAACCACAAACAACUCCUUUACCUACAGGGGAACUCUGAACCCAGGGCCAGGCUGUUCUACAUGCUCCCCAAAAUCCACAAGCCCAGACCCUCAUGGAACAGAGCCGGGGAGAUCCCCCCAGGGCUGGGACUGCCUGGAGGCUGUGGUCCUCGAGGCCAACCCCAGGUGGUCCACACCCCAGAGAAGGAGAGCUGAGAGACUCUGGAUCACCAGACUCAGCACAACACAACCGAUGGGCCUGAAUGAGAGGUGAGGGCCCG